GGGGUAGUUCCGGAAUUCGACAGGUUAUUACAAGCAUGGAUUGCGUUCCCGUUUGUCGGGUUAAAGACUGCAGAUAUAACUGCAAAAAAUAAUGAACCAUCUUACGCAUUAGCUGCCUAAUCGCAGUAGCGUAGCCCUUUGUUGAGUCCACGGCAACAUUCUCGGCCUAAUUAGUGGAUUAGCUGCUGGCAUUUAUGUUCGGAAUAAAAGCAGUGAAACAAGAAUCGAACUAGCUCUCGAUUUGGAAGUUAGCAAC
RNAcentral lists this unclassified non-coding RNA (256 nucleotides) under Oenococcus oeni. Its description in RNAcentral is "10Sa RNA (tmRNA)". The record is from RNAcentral. Lineage: Bacteria; Bacillati; Bacillota; Bacilli; Lactobacillales; Lactobacillaceae.